RNAcentral lists this transfer RNA (76 nucleotides) under Alphaproteobacteria bacterium. RNAcentral's name for it is "tRNA-Ala". It matches the Rfam family "tRNA". From Rfam's summary of the family: Transfer RNA (tRNA) molecules are approximately 80 nucleotides in length. Their secondary structure includes four short double-helical elements and three loops (D, anti-codon, and T loops). The record is from RNAcentral. Lineage: Bacteria; Pseudomonadati; Pseudomonadota; Alphaproteobacteria.
GGGGGUAUAGCUCAGUUGGGAGAGCGACAGGUUCGCAAUCUGUAGGUAGGGAGUUCGAUCCUCCUUGCCUCCACCA